Molecule: ribosomal RNA, 393 nt
Filed under: Triticum aestivum (bread wheat)
Lineage: Eukaryota; Viridiplantae; Streptophyta; Magnoliopsida; Poales; Poaceae
Description: partial small subunit ribosomal RNA
Source: RNAcentral
AUGCGACGGACACCCACCACCCCAAAGUGUCCGAGCACCUCCACAGGCCUGGACCAGAUCCUGCCGUGGCUCUUCUACCACAAGGUCAUUGGCGUUGCACACUUUUUGCUCUUCGUCGAGGGCAAGGCCGCCAAGCCUAGCGUCGCCGGGGGGGUGAAGGUGGUGUACAGGACCAAGGAGCUUGAGGAGCAGCAGGCCAGGUGCCGAAUCUGGAACGAAACCUGGCUCGCAGGAUUCUUCUACAAGCCUUGCAACCACGAACUAUUUUUGAAGCGGUCACUCAACAUGGAGAUGGCCAUUGUGAUGGCCCGGGAAUCUGGCAUGGAUUGGAUAAUGCAUCUAGACACCGAUGAGUUGUUAUAUCCCGGUAGUAUUCCAUCAGACGCAUGUUAG